RNAcentral lists this long non-coding RNA (644 nucleotides) under Cyanistes caeruleus (blue tit). Its description in RNAcentral is "lncRNA (ENSCCEG00000002335.1)". Lineage: Eukaryota; Metazoa; Chordata; Aves; Passeriformes; Paridae. The record is from RNAcentral.
CUCAAAAGAUGGCUUUACACUGAAGCAUAUGAAAAUAUUAAAUUCUUUAUCAACCUGUUGAAGUUUGAAUUGCUUUGAGGGGAUUAUUCAGAACUUCCAGAAAUCCAGACCAAGGACUUUCUCAGAACUAAGUGGCCAUCUCCAGCUGAGUUCCCCCAGCAACCACAGUGUGAGAGAUGAGACAGCGCAGAGGGGAGCUGGGAGCAGGGAUUGAAGAGGUGCACACCCCUCACUGCACUGUUCCUCAAAAAAGAUCCAGGAUUUUAUCAGAAACUUUGCAAAACUCCAGUAUUUUCUCAACUCUGUUCCUAGGAAACACUUGUGAUGUCGAUUCGCUGCCUCACCUCACAGUGUGACAGCAGCAGGAGGUCAGAUCCUGAACUUGGGUUAAAAAACCCUUCUGUUAUCUUAACAGGCAAAAUGCCCUUGGCUCCUCCAGUGGUGCUGAAACCUGGAGGAAAUAAGAAGAGCCCAAGCCAGUUCCCUCCUGAGAAGGCACAAGAUAACCCACCUGAGUCAUGCACUCGGUGCACGAUGAGCUGGAGUUUGUAACCACUUCUUGUGUUCUACACCACAGCCAAAGUCAAGCUGUGCUCCAGCCAGUGACUCACAGCCCAUUAUUUCAUAAUAUUAGUCAUUUAGCU